CAAGAGGGUUCCUAAAAUAUUAUAGACAAAACAAGUCACUACAUAAUACAUAUAAGCAGAUACAGAAACAAGUUUAUUGUCCUAUACCAAAUUUCAAAAUUCAAACAACAAUAUAACAUUUCAAAUAUUAGCUAGUUUACAUUGGGUAUUCAACUAUUCAAUAAACACCGUGGAUACCGCAUAUACUAUCACCAUUUGGCCAAUGGCCAG
Molecule: microRNA precursor, 210 nt
Filed under: Oryza sativa (Asian cultivated rice)
Lineage: Eukaryota; Viridiplantae; Streptophyta; Magnoliopsida; Poales; Poaceae
Description: miR2920 stem-loop (osa-MIR2920)
Source: miRBase by way of RNAcentral